GCCUAUGGCCAUGCCACCCUGAACGAGCCUGAUACCGUCGAUCUUGGAAGCUAAGCAGGGUUGGGCCCAGUUAGUACUUGGAUGGGAGACCACCUAGGAAGACCAGGUGCUGUAGGCA
RNAcentral lists this ribosomal RNA (118 nucleotides) under Pteropus alecto (black flying fox). The record is from RNAcentral. Lineage: Eukaryota; Metazoa; Chordata; Mammalia; Chiroptera; Pteropodidae.